This 69-nucleotide transfer RNA is filed under the name Rattus norvegicus (Norway rat). It matches the Rfam family "tRNA". From Rfam's summary of the family: Transfer RNA (tRNA) molecules are approximately 80 nucleotides in length. The record is from Rfam by way of RNAcentral. Lineage: Eukaryota; Metazoa; Chordata; Mammalia; Rodentia; Muridae.
GGGGUUUUAGCUCAGCGGUAGAGCGCUUGCCUAGCAAGCGCAAGGCCCUGGGUUCGGUCCCCAGCUCCG